AGAAAAGCUAUGACAUGGAAGAGUAGUUGAGAGAUUCUUUUUAGAGAGGUAUCGGAAGGUGAAAGAUACUAAGAUAUUUUAACGAAAAUCACCAUCAAGCUGCCCACCGAAAUGUAGGUGUUGUCGGGAGCUCCCGUUACAGAGCUAUUCAUUAAAUGAAUUAAGUGCAUCAUUAGAUGAAGAAGAGUGGUACCGCGGAUGGUAAAAUUAUGUAUAUUACCCUUCGUCUCUUUA
RNAcentral lists this non-coding RNA (234 nucleotides) under Anaerococcus lactolyticus. RNAcentral's name for it is "T-box sequence". It matches the Rfam family "T-box leader". From Rfam's summary of the family: Uncharged tRNA acts as the effector for transcription antitermination of genes in the T-box leader family. T-boxes are found upstream of many aminoacyl-tRNA synthetase genes and some amino acid biosynthetic genes usually in Gram-positive bacteria. The record is from RNAcentral. Lineage: Bacteria; Bacillati; Bacillota; Tissierellia; Tissierellales; Peptoniphilaceae.